RNAcentral lists this ribosomal RNA (501 nucleotides) under uncultured bacterium. Its description in RNAcentral is "partial 16S ribosomal RNA". It matches the Rfam family "Bacterial small subunit ribosomal RNA", at positions 30 to 523 of the family's 1533-position model. The record is from RNAcentral.
AUUGAACGCUGGUGGCAUGCCUUACACAUGCAAGUCGAAUGGCAGCACGGGUGCUUGCACCUGGUGGCGAGUGGCGAACGGGUGAGUAAUACAUCGGAACGUACCUUAUCGUGGGGGAUAACGCAGCGAAAGCUGUGCUAAUACCGCAUACGCCCUGAGGGGGAAAGCGGGAGAUCGAAAGACCUCGCGCGAUUAGAGCGGCCGAUGCCUGAUUAGCUUGUUGGUGGGGUAAAAGCCCACCAAGGCGACGAUCAGUAGCUGGUCUGAGAGGACGAUCAGCCACACUGGGACUGAGACACGGCCCAGACUCCUACGGGAGGCAGCAGUGGGGAAUUUUGGACAAUGGGGGCAACCCUGAUCCAGCAAUGCCGCGUGAGUGAAGAAGGCCUUCGGGUUGUAAAGCUCUUUUGUCAGGGAAGAAACACCGGCUCUAACACAGUCCGGGAAUGACGGUACCUGAAGAAUAAGCACCGGCUAACUACGUGCCAGCAGCCGCGGUAA